This 88-nucleotide transfer RNA is filed under the name Planctomycetota bacterium. Its description in RNAcentral is "Planctomycetes bacterium tRNA-Leu". It matches the Rfam family "tRNA". Rfam says of the family: Transfer RNA (tRNA) molecules are approximately 80 nucleotides in length. Their secondary structure includes four short double-helical elements and three loops (D, anti-codon, and T loops). The record is from RNAcentral. Lineage: Bacteria; Pseudomonadati; Planctomycetota.
GCCGGUGUGGUGGAAUUGGUAGACACGUAGGACUUAAAAUUCUAUGGCCAUCGCGGUCGUGCAGGUUCGACGCCUGCCACCGGCACAA